GUCUCAGUUCAGAUUGCAGGCUGCAACUCGCCUGCAUGAAAGUCGGAAUUGCUAGUAAUCGCAGAUCAGCAUGCUGCGGUGAAUACGUUCCCGGGCCUUGUACACACCGCCCGUCACACCAUGGGAGUCGGUAACACCCGAAGUCGGUAGCCUAACCGUAAGGAGGGCGCCGCCGAAGGUGGGAUUGAUGACUGGGGUGAAGUCGUAACAAGGUAAC
RNAcentral lists this ribosomal RNA (217 nucleotides) under uncultured bacterium. RNAcentral describes it as "partial 16S ribosomal RNA". It matches the Rfam family "Bacterial small subunit ribosomal RNA", at positions 1285 to 1500 of the family's 1533-position model. The record is from RNAcentral.